Pelobates cultripes (western spadefoot toad) is the source of this 112-nucleotide non-coding RNA. The record is from the annotation of a GenBank genome assembly. NCBI's taxonomy places the organism in Eukaryota, Metazoa, Chordata, Amphibia, Anura, Pelobatidae.
GAAAAUAGUAAAAAAGCUUCAUUUAUUGCCAAUGGUUGAACAAAAAGUUAUUGUCUCAUAUAUUUUUUAACCGUUGGCAAUAAAUGAAGCUUUUUUAUUAUUCUCUUGAUUC